Molecule: ribosomal RNA, 629 nt
Filed under: Pulvinaria psidii
Lineage: Eukaryota; Metazoa; Arthropoda; Insecta; Hemiptera; Coccidae
Description: partial 28S ribosomal RNA
Rfam family: Eukaryotic large subunit ribosomal RNA
Source: RNAcentral
UCGAUUUUUCCAUCACCGACCCUCAACCGAGGGUGUCGGACAUCGCGACCCGUUUGCUUAGUCGAUGCUUAGGUACGUGAUAAAGUUCGUAUGUGCCAUCGCCUCGGCGGUGGUACGACGAUUACGCGUUACCAAUGCGUCGGCGCAGACGGUAGCUUUGCGCGUGGGUAAUCGGCGCGGUCCUUGCUUGUAUUCUCGUAAUGCAGGCGGUACUCGCGUCGACACCGGUCAGCGAUGAAUUUUCAGGUCUCUUUCCGACCCGUCUUGAAACACGGACCAAGGAGUCUAGCGUGCGCGCGAGUCGCGGGGCAUUCGAAGUGUCGUAGCUGCUUACGCAGCGAAUGCAUUUCGUAAUGAUACUAAACCCGUAUACGUGCAUUGUGCGAAGGCGUAAUGAAAGUGAAAGGCGACGCUUCGUGCGUCGCCAGGGGAAGAUGAUGAUCUGUGUACACGUUUCGCGGUCGAGUAUGUAUCGCGACCAGACAUCCGCAUUCCCAGGGCAUCCUAUCCGUUCGCCUGUGACUGGGGUUCGCCUCGGCCGCAGGUGAAUUGGGGUGCACCUACAGCGUGCACGCUGGUACCCGAAAGAUGGUGAACUAUGCCUGGCCAGGAUGAAGUCAGGGGAAACC